CCUACGGGAGGCAGCAGUGAGGAAUAUUGCUCAAUGGGCGCGACCCUGAACCAGCCACGUAGCGUGAAGGAUGACUGCCCUACGGUUUGUAAACUUCUUUUAUAAAGGAAUAAAGUGAGGCACGUGUGCCUUUUUGUAUGUACUUUAUGAAUAAGGAUCUGCUAACUCCGUGCCAGCAGCCGCGGUAAUACGGAGGAUCCGAGCGUUAUCCGGAUUUAUUGGUUUUAAAGGGAGCGUAGAUGGGUUGUUAAGUCAGUUGUGAAAGUUUGCGGCUCAACCUUAAAAUUGCAAUUGAUACUGGCAGUCUUGAGUACAGUUGAGGUAGGCGGAAUUCGUGGUGUAGCGGUGAAAUGCUUAGAUAUCACGAAGAACUCCGAUUGCGAAGGCAGCUUACUAAACUGCCACUGACAUUGAUGCUCGAAAGUGUGGGUAUCAAACAGGAUUAGAUACCCGAGUAGUC
This 460-nucleotide ribosomal RNA is filed under the name uncultured bacterium. RNAcentral describes it as "partial 16S ribosomal RNA". It matches the Rfam family "Bacterial small subunit ribosomal RNA", at positions 338 to 795 of the family's 1533-position model. The record is from RNAcentral.